Molecule: ribosomal RNA, 254 nt
Filed under: uncultured bacterium
Lineage: Bacteria
Description: partial 16S ribosomal RNA
Rfam family: Bacterial small subunit ribosomal RNA
Source: RNAcentral
GACGAACCGUGCGAACGUUAUUCGGAAUCACUGGGCUUAAAGCGCGUGUAGGCGGGAGGGCACGUCCGACGUUGAAAGCCCCCGGCUCAACCGGGGAACGGGCGCGGAUACGACCUUCCUGGAGGGACGUAGGGGGACCUGGAACUUCCGGUGGAGCGGUGAAAUGCGUUGAGAUCGGAAGGAACGCUCGUGGCGAAAGCGAGGUCCUGGACGUUUUCUGACGCUGAGACGCGAAAGCCAGGGGAGCGAACGGG